Molecule: ribosomal RNA, 254 nt
Filed under: uncultured bacterium
Lineage: Bacteria
Description: partial 16S ribosomal RNA
Rfam family: Bacterial small subunit ribosomal RNA
Source: RNAcentral
CGGAGGGGCUAGCGUUGUUCGGAAUUACUGGGGCGUAAAGCGCACGUAGGCGGCUUUGCAAGUUAGAGGUGAAAGCCCGGGGGCUCAACCCCGGAAUUGCCUUUAAGACUGCAGGGCUAGAAUCCAGGAGAGGUGAGUGGAAUCCGAGUGUAGAGGUGAAAUUCGUAGAUAUUCGGAAGAACACCAGUGGCGAAGGCGGCUCACUGGACUGGUAUUGACGCUGAGGUGCGAAAGCGUGGGGAGCAAACAGGAUU